AAGUCGUAACAAGGUUUCCGUAGGUGAACCUGCGGAAGGAUCAUUACAGAUAGAUUCGGAGGUGGCUUUCUCCAUGCCGGAGGGGGCUCCUUCAAACUCUACCUUCAAUCCCCCCCCUCAUUAACAAUGUGAACCUUGACACAAGUCUGUCGACGCAAGUGCCCCUAUCUUUGGAAUAGGGGCACUAGACACUUGUGCUCAUUUUUCUCUCACGCCUGUCAUACGAAUGUUGUUGGUACAUGAUACAUAUGAAAUAUAACUUUCAGCAACGGAUCUCUUGGCUCUC
This 286-nucleotide unclassified non-coding RNA is filed under the name fungal sp. RNAcentral describes it as "partial internal transcribed spacer region". The stretch from base 1 to 46 matches the Rfam family "Eukaryotic small subunit ribosomal RNA", at positions 1786 to 1831 of the family's 1831-position model. The record is from RNAcentral. Lineage: Eukaryota; Fungi.